CGGGAUGGAAGCUACCACUACACUUGCAAAGAUGCAGGCGAGUGUGCAGAGAGAGUCGCCCCGGGCUGACGAGGCGAGACAUGUGGAGAAGGAUUGGAACUGUCAGAGACGUCAAGCACUACUAAUUAUUCGGGUGUACCCCUCCUUCCGCCUGAAUGCAGCUGGGAUAGGCUCCAGCCAAUCCCCGAGAAGGACAAGCGGUAGAAAAUGGAUGGAUGGAUGGACGCAUAAAUGCUUUGAGUCUGCCAAAAACCAGCGGAUGUACAUCAUUUUUCCUGUACACUGUAGACAAGACGAAAGAGGAAGAACAUCUUUUUUUUAUGGCUCAUUGAUCUCCUCCAUCUGACAGCUGGAUGUGCCUCACCAGUAGUGUUCCAGCGCGUGUAAACUAAAGAAAAACCCUCCACUUCCUUCUUUAAACGCUCCCUGUUGCGAUUUAGUUAGCGUGAAUACAAAUGUGCUGUCAGUUAACUUGAAAAAACCACGACUGUUGUGCUGCGUCCAAAAACCACAAAAACACAUGUCUACUCGUCCUUCCUCUUCUGCUUUCAAUUCUCGCCGCUGUAUGGCUCAAUAUCCUGUUUGACUGAGAGGAAGGGGUCUGUCUGACCUACAUGUCGCCCUAAUUGCUGCCAUCCUUUGGCUCGCCCGCCUUGACAUGUGACCUCCUCCAAACACCCUAAUUGGUCCGCGUGAUCCC
Molecule: long non-coding RNA, 700 nt
Organism: Entelurus aequoreus (snake pipefish)
Lineage: Eukaryota; Metazoa; Chordata; Actinopteri; Syngnathiformes; Syngnathidae
Exons: 3
Source: RefSeq, a predicted model, not a curated record